Molecule: long non-coding RNA, 1188 nt
Filed under: Homo sapiens (human)
Lineage: Eukaryota; Metazoa; Chordata; Mammalia; Primates; Hominidae
Description: HSALNT0323479
Source: RNAcentral
CUCAGCGGGCUUGGGUCGUCCGGCCGCGGGGUCAGGGAAGACCAGAGGACCACUAGCCCCAGGAAGCUUCCCACCACCAGCAAACUGCGUGGUGAAUUUGUAACCGAAAGGCCCAGGUGAGAUGUGCAAAUAUCACUGGAUUGGAGGAGCUCACUUGGAAAGCCAGUAUUCCUCCUGAGCUAAUGAAAAGAAAGGCUGUCGUCUUAUGCCAAAAGCAAUACCAACCUUGUUCACGGGCUGAGAUCUAGAGUGUGUAAUUCACGAAGUAUGAAUCUGCUGGGUAAUGUGAUAUGAAAAGCGAAUGCACCAUUUCUUGGUGAUGAUUCAGGUCAGCGUUGGGACCCAGGAAUCUCCUGUUAAUCAGUACCCUGGUGAUUUUGAUCCAGUUCCUCUAAAGAAGAGGGUAGAGACUAGAACUGAAUGAGAUGGACAUAGAGAUGGCCAAGAAAAGCAUCGUCCUCUGCCAAGUCAUGGGGUCAUGUGUGGUGGAUGGUGACAUGGUGUCCUCAGCUCAGAGUCCAGCUGGGGGCUCAGAAGCAAGGUAACUGAAGGGAGAGAAUUAUUUGAGCACCUAGUGUGUGUAAGAUGCUUCACAUUUAUUAUUUCACCUAACCUCUACACAACCUGUUGUGGGUAUUACUGGUCUCAAGCUGGGAUUCAAAGCAGGUUUUUCCAACCUCAGAAUUCUUGCCAGACUGAUUAGCCUUCUGCAUCUGGAACAUAAAUGUUUUCAGGCAGCAUAAUGUGCAAGAGGUCAGAGCCUAAAGCUUUGUUAUUUUUUAAUUUCUCCACCAUGUCAACUCUGUUACAGGGAAGCCCAGCAGAGGGAAUUGUAUCCAUUUUGGGGCUACACUACCCCAAUGCUAUGCUGCAGCCAAGCUGAACUUCUAAGUUUCUAAAUGUAACUCACUUACCUUCAGGCCUUUGUACGGGGAGUUCUUUUUGCCUGAAAUACCUUCUGACAUCUUAACAUUACGCUUAGAUGUCAGUUACAAAAAAGCUUUUUCUAGACUCUCUCACAUGUCCCACUCCACACCCCUAUAUCUCUUCCCACCAAUGUACUAGGGUAGGUAUCCUGCUAGGUACUUCCACUGCACCCUCUACUUUUCUUCCCUAAUGAUUACCACUAUAUUGUAAUUGCUUAAUUUCUUUUUCCUAUACCCAGAUAAAAAUGUGUAUGAAGGUGGA